CUUGGAACAAUGUGAAAGUCUUCUUUUGAUGCGCGGUUAACAUCUUACGCUACACCUUAACGGUAUCGCGUACAAAUAACAUUUCCAACGAAACACUGCAAUGGUACAUUUAUUUUCGCAAACUUGUUAGAACAGUGACAGGAAACGUCGUAAGAGGAAUAACAGCAAGCACGACGUACGCAAUUUUUUAUUACCAUCGAGCAUUAAACGGCUACGUUGUGAACUAAUUAUAUAUAAAACGUUGAUUUAUUAAAACAUUUAUCCACUACUACGCAUCGAGGCGUGUCUUACGAUAUUGGACAAGUUUAUCUCGCGAUGCGUUUACUUUAAAGUCACAAUCCCCGUCAUUGACCGACAUUAUGCCAAGUUCUUUUCUUCGAAUAAAGUACUGAUAAUUGUGGUCUACUAAAUACUGACGAUUUAUCAUGGGUAUAAAUCGGUGAUUCGUAACGAUAUUCAAUUAUAUCGUUAAUUCAUCACUAUACUAUAUCAAAUAGGAAGAUGAUACUUUUAUCGUUUCUCGAUGUCGAUAAGC
Bombus impatiens (common eastern bumble bee) is the source of this 535-nucleotide long non-coding RNA. RefSeq lists it as uncharacterized. The record is from RefSeq and is a predicted model, not a curated record. Lineage: Eukaryota; Metazoa; Arthropoda; Insecta; Hymenoptera; Apidae. The transcript has 3 exons.